AGAGUUUGAUCCUGGCUCAGAACGAACGCUGGCGGCGUGGAUAAGACAUGCAAGUCGAACGCGACUUAUCUGGUUAGCAAUAACUAGGUAAGUUGAGUGGCGAAAGGGUGCGUAACACGUGGGAAUUUACCAAGAAGUGGGGAAUAGCUCGACGAAAGUCGAAUUAAUACCGCAUAUGAUCGCAAGAUCAAAGCCGGGGACCGCAAGGCCUGGCGCUUUUUGAGAAGCCCGCGGCCCAUCAGCUAGUUGGCGAGGUAAAAGCUCACCAAGGCUAUGACGGGUAGCUGGUCUGAGAGGACGACCAGCCACACUGGAACUGAGACACGGUCCAGACACCUACGGGUGGCAGCAGUCGAGAAUUUUUCACAAUGGACGAAAGUCUGAUGGAGCGACGCCGCGUGGAGGAUGAAGGUUUUCGGAUUGUAAACUCCUGUCACUGCAGAACAAGGUUACGCCAGUUAAUAGCUGGCGUAAUUGAUGGUAUGCGGAGAGGAAGGGACGGCUAACUCUGUGCCAGCAGCCGCGGUAAGACAGAGGUCCCGAGCGUUGUUCGGAUUCAUUGGGCGUAAAGGGUGUGUAGGAGGUUGGGUAAGUCAGGUGUGAAAUCUCAGAGCUUAACUCUGAAACUGCGCUUGAUACUGCUCAGCUAGAGGAUCGGAGGGGGUAACGGAAUUCAUGGUGUAGCAGUGAAAUGCGUAGAUAUCAUGAGGAACACCGGUGGCGAAGGCGGUUACCUGGAAGAUUCCUGACUCUGAAACACGAAAGCCAGGGGAGCAAACGGGAUUAGAUACCCUAGUAGUCC
Molecule: ribosomal RNA, 802 nt
Filed under: uncultured bacterium
Lineage: Bacteria
Description: bacterial SSU rRNA
Rfam family: Bacterial small subunit ribosomal RNA
Source: RNAcentral